RNAcentral lists this ribosomal RNA (252 nucleotides) under uncultured bacterium. RNAcentral describes it as "partial 16S ribosomal RNA". It matches the Rfam family "Bacterial small subunit ribosomal RNA", at positions 524 to 776 of the family's 1533-position model. The record is from RNAcentral.
GACAGAGGAUGCAAGCGUUAUCCGGAAUGAUUGGGCGUAAAGCGUCUGUAGGUGGCUUUUUAAGUCCGCCGUCAAAUCCCAGGGCUCAACCCUGGACAGGCGGUGGAAACUACCAAGCUGGAGUACGGUAGGGGCAGAGGGAAUUCCGGUGGAGCGGUGGAAUGCGCAGAUAUCAGGAGGAACACCAAUAGCGAAGGCAGCUCGCUGGGACGUUACUGACACUGAGAUGCGAAAGCGUGGGGAGCAAACAGG